GACGAACGCUGGCGGCGUGCUUAACACAUGCAAGUCGAACGAAUAGCGAUGGAAGCUUGCUUCUAUCAAUCUUAGUGGCGAACGUGUGAGUAACGCGUAAUCAACCUGCCCUUCAGUGGGGUACAACAGUUGGAAACGACUUCUAAUACCGCAUACUAUCUAAUCUCGUCAUUGAGGAUUGAUGAAAGGUUGCCUCUACAUGUAUGCUUUCACUGUAGGAGGGUUUUGCGUCUGAUUAGCUAGUUGGCGGGGUAACUGCCCAACAAGGGGAUGAUCAGUAGACGGUCUGAGAGGAUGAACGGCAAAAUUGGGACUGAGAAACGGCCCAGACUACUACGGGAGGCAGCAGUGGGGAAUCUUCCGAAAUGGAAGAAAGUCUGAAGGAGCAACGCCGCGGGAGGGAUGAAGGCCGUCGGGUUGUAAAGCUCUGUUAAUCGGGACGAAAGGCCUUCUUGCGAAUAGUGAGAAGGAUUGACGGUACCGGAAUAGAAAGCCACGGCUAACUACGUG
This 510-nucleotide ribosomal RNA is filed under the name uncultured bacterium. RNAcentral describes it as "partial 16S ribosomal RNA". It matches the Rfam family "Bacterial small subunit ribosomal RNA", at positions 28 to 507 of the family's 1533-position model. The record is from RNAcentral.